GCUAGGAUGGCAGAGCCCGGGUAAUUGCGAAAGGCCUAAGCCCUUUUUUUCAGAGGUUCAAGUCCUCUUCCUAUCU
RNAcentral lists this transfer RNA (76 nucleotides) under Pseudotolithus senegallus (law croaker). RNAcentral describes it as "tRNA-Leu". It matches the Rfam family "tRNA". From Rfam's summary of the family: Transfer RNA (tRNA) molecules are approximately 80 nucleotides in length. Their secondary structure includes four short double-helical elements and three loops (D, anti-codon, and T loops). RNAcentral also lists the same sequence under 1 other name. Lineage: Eukaryota; Metazoa; Chordata; Actinopteri; Sciaenidae. The record is from RNAcentral.